ACACGUAGGAGGCGAGCGUUAUUCGGAUUUACUGGGCGUAAAGCGCGUGUAGGCGGCUGAUCAAGUUGGAUGUGAAAGCUCCCGGCUUAACUGGGAGAGGACGUUCAAAACUGAACAGCUUGAGUAUGAGAGAGGAAAUGGAAUUCCGGGCGUAGUGGUGAAAUGCGUAGAUAUCCGGAGGAACACCAGUGGCGAAGGCGAUUUUCUGGCUCAAGACUGACGCUCAGACGCGAAAGCUAGGGUAGC
This 246-nucleotide ribosomal RNA is filed under the name uncultured bacterium. Its description in RNAcentral is "partial 16S ribosomal RNA". It matches the Rfam family "Bacterial small subunit ribosomal RNA", at positions 523 to 769 of the family's 1533-position model. The record is from RNAcentral.